Molecule: ribosomal RNA, 555 nt
Filed under: Triticum aestivum (bread wheat)
Lineage: Eukaryota; Viridiplantae; Streptophyta; Magnoliopsida; Poales; Poaceae
Description: partial small subunit ribosomal RNA
Source: RNAcentral
AUGCUGCGGGGCCACCUCACCCGCGCUCAGGACCGCUUCAAGAAACAAGCCAACAAGCAGCGCACAGAGCAUGCCUUCACCAUCGGCGACCAAGCCCUCCUCAAGCUUCAACCUUAUGUGCAAGUCUCCGUCGCUAGCCACCCCUGCCAGAAGCUGGCUUACAAGUAUUUCGGCCCGUUCACCAUCCUGGAGCGCAUCGGUACCGUGGCUUACCGCUUGGAGCUGUCGUGGGAUUGCCGCAUCCACCCGGUAUUCCAUGUCUCCCGGUUGAAGCACUUCAUCCCCAACUACUCGCCCAUCUACUCCGAGCUGCCCAAGAUCCCAGACUUGACAACAACACCUCUCAUUCCGGUGGCCAUCCAAGAAAGACACAUGGUCAACAAAGCCUCAGCCUCACUCACCCAAGUCCGAGUUCAGUGGUCUUCACUACCUGCGGACGCCACCACCUGGGAAGAUUACGUAGUCCUGCGCGUGUGCUUUCCAUCAGCCAGCAUCUGGGAAGACGCUGCAUCUCAAGGAGGGGCGCCUGUCACGCCUGUAGUUCAGGGCGCAUAG